AUGAGUAGGGCGGGACACGUGGUAUCCUGUCUGAAUAUGGGGGGACCAUCCUCCAAGGCUAAAUACUCCUGACUGACCGAUAGUGAACCAGUACCGUGAGGGAAAGGCGAAAAGAACCCCGGCGAGGGGAGUGAAAAAGAACCUGAAACCGUGUACGUACAAGCAGUGGGAGCCCCACCACUAAGCCAGUGGUGAACUCCACAUACGCAUCCUUUGCUGAAGGCAAUGGUUAACGGAGCGAAAGCGACGUUCAACCGCAAAACAAGCAGAGGGGGCUUAGUGGUGGGGUGACUGCGUACCUUUUGUAUAAUGGGUCAGCGACUUAUAUUCUGUAGCAAGGUUAACCGUAUAGGGGAGCCGGAGGGAAACCGAGUCUUAAUUGGGCGUUAAGUUGCAGGGUAUAGACCCGAAACCCGGUGAUCUAGCCAUGGGCAGGUUGAAGGUUGGGUAACACUAACUGGAGGACCGAACCGACUAAUGUUGAAAAAUUAGCGGAUGACCUGUGGCUGGGGGUGAAAGGCCAAUCAAACCGGGAGAUAGCUGGUUCUCCCCGAAAGCUAUUUAGGUAGCGCCUCGUGAAUUCAUCUCCGGGGGUAGAGCACUGUUUCGGCUAGGGGGCCAUCCCGGCUUACCAACCCGAUGCAAACUGCGAAUACCGGAGAAUGUUAUCACGGGAGACACACGGCGGGUGCUAACGUCCGUCGUGAAGAGGGAAACAACCCAGACCGCCAGCUAAGGUCCCAAAGUCAUGGUUAAGUGGGAAACGAUGUGGGAAGGCCCAGACAGCCAGGAUGUUGGCUUAGAAGCAGCCAUCAUUUAAAGAAAGCGUAAUAGCUCACUGGUCGAGUCGGCCUGCGCGGAAGAUGUAACGGGGCUAAACCAUGCACCGAAGCUGCGGCAGCGAACGUAUCACUUAAAGCGAUUCAGCGGGUUACGAUUGACGGAGCGAAGCGACGUCAAAGCGUAUACAAAGUCGAGUCGGUUUAAGGAUACGUUCGUUGGGUAGGGGAGCGUUC
RNAcentral lists this ribosomal RNA (1016 nucleotides) under Salmonella enterica subsp. enterica serovar Thompson. RNAcentral's name for it is "partial 23S ribosomal RNA". It matches the Rfam family "Bacterial large subunit ribosomal RNA", at positions 408 to 1241 of the family's 2925-position model. The record is from RNAcentral. Lineage: Bacteria; Pseudomonadati; Pseudomonadota; Gammaproteobacteria; Enterobacterales; Enterobacteriaceae.